Molecule: long non-coding RNA, 198 nt
Organism: Dermochelys coriacea (leatherback sea turtle)
Lineage: Eukaryota; Metazoa; Chordata; Testudines; Dermochelyidae
Exons: 3
Source: RefSeq, a predicted model, not a curated record
CAGUGGGGUGGCAAUUUGGCUGUAUUGUGGUACAAAUUGCCUGUAAUAUCCAGCCAAGCCUGAGAAGGAUUGGACCGGUUUCUUUGACUUUGGGACAGGCCACUUUCGGAUAGCAUCUACUUUGGCCUGUAGGAGGUUGAUAGUUCCUUGACCCAGCUGGUGUCCAAGGUAAGUCACUCUGAAGUCCUGGAAAAAAUU